GGAAUGAAAGAAAAUGACUUCAGUGUGGGUGCACCAAAUAUUAUUUUAAUUUGUUUAUUUAAAGCAUUUUAUAUCCUGCUCUUCAGCAAUAAAAAAGGGAAAAGGCUCCCAGAGCAGGGCACGAAUGUUCAUGAUAGGAUAGCCCCAAUUCUCAGGCUUAUGGUCUAAAAAGGCAUAACGUAAAAGGAAAGGGGAUUGGGAUGGAGGAAGGAGAAAGGAAAAGAAAACUCAGGCUUUAUUUCUUAGUUGUGGAGUUUACGUAAUGACCAUGUAUAAAUGUGAGAUGCAGGUGGUGGAAAGGCUUGUUGUCACUGAAAGCCAGGACAACAGCAGAAUGCAGGCUGUCAUGGCACCAGAUCCUUUCAAACUCUCCUGGUGAGAGGCGGAAAAGCUCCUGUGCAAAUGGCAACGUACUCCCUUUGGUGGUUGUCUCAUUGGCUUAACGAUCAGAAAUGUGUGGCUCCCAAGAGGAAAGCAGUAGCAUUGAUUUCUUCCGGCUUCCAUCCCUGGAAAAAAUGAAAUUAUACCUUCAGGACAUAAAGGAUGAAAUACCAUAUAAAGAAAUAUAAAGUGUGCAAGAAAAGAAAUAAAAAGUCAGCAUCCAUUGUGGUACAGUGACAUGUUUCUUGGAAAUUCUCUCAACCGAUUCAAAUGGCGAUGUACUUUGUGCAUCAGAUUUGGCCACCCCAACAUGAUGCGUGUGUGUAUUGGGGGGGGGGAUGUCUCCAUAUAUUAGAAUUGUUCACACAUAACUCUGAGCACAGGAGCACAUUGUCUCUGCACAUAGACAAGUGUUCAUGGGAAAGAGUGUAACAUGCUAAUUUGUGCCUCUCAACUGUUCUUUACACAAACUGUGGACUCAAUAAAUAUAAUCUGUGAACACGCUGCUAUUAUCUAGCUCAGUAUUGUCAACACUAACUGGCAGCAGCUCAUCAGGGCUUCAGAACAGGAUUUUCUCCCAGUCUCUCAUGGAGAUGCCCAGGAUUAAACCUGUGACCUUCUUCAUGCAAAGCAAUUGCUCCAUCCCUAAACUACAACCCAUUAAGAAUUUUAAUUCCCAUUAGGACUUUUUUUUUGCCUUCUUCAAAAUUGCUUUGCUAAACAUACACUAGUGUGAAUUUUGGUUGGUGUUUGGUUUUUCGUGCGUGUUUUUGGAAUGGUCUGCCUGACUAUAUAUAUUGGGACAAUUCCCUUUUGUCUUUCUUUGCAGAAAGUUCUCAGUCCCACCCUCCAACCCCAAAGAAGAGUCCCCAUGAUUAAGUUGCUUUGUAUCUCUCUGUACAAGGAGAAGGGGGCAUAAAUUAUUCAUUUUCGGUGGGUGUUAAGAGACUUUGGCCUCAGCUGUGCUCUGAAUAUAGAAACUGAGAGGCUUAUUCAGCAUGGGUCAGGGGAAGCAGAUUUCAAACAGCUUUUUGGCAAGUAUGAAAGAAAAUGCUGUUUUUUACUUUAAAAAAAUUAAAAGAUGACUAGACAAAAAUAGAUUUGCAUGGGCAUCUGUAACUAUUAUUAAGCACUAGUUCACAGCCUGUCCUUAUAACAGGUGCUUUUUUUUUUGUAUGUGUGUGGGAGUUUUAAUAUUGAAUUAAUGCCUUUUAUUGAGCCUUAUAGCAUGCAAUCCACAAAUACAGAAUUUUAUUUUCCCCACCCAGGAGUAAAUGCUAGGGCUAUGUUCACAAGCCUCCCUCCGCCCCACCCCCCGCAAUGCAAUUCAGAGCCUGAUCUGUCACUUUGGAGUGGCCCUGAUCUGGUUUAAUCUUCAGCCAAUGAGAAUUGGGCCUGAUAUUUGCAUAGUCCCACCCAGGGGCUGGUUGCUGCCCUUUGGGACUGCUGGGGAGAAGACCAACAGUAGACAGUUCCAGUGCCAAUGACAGGCAUAGCCACCCUUUGAUUGGCUGGAAAUAAGGCGGCAGACAUGGUAAGCUCUGACCGAGAACAGACUGUGGUUGGUGGUGCUUUGCCCCAUUUACCCUUAUUGGCAAGCCUUCACUGGCCCCACCCCUUUAUUUGCAUCUCCCCACUGCUGAGUUCUGUUUCUCGCUCAUCUGUGGGCAGCCUUCCUUAACCUGGUGCCACCCAGAUGCCAUUGAACUCCCAACUCCUGUUGUCCCUAACCAUUGGCCAUGCUGGCCACGGGGACUGAUGGAAGCUGGAGUCCAACACCUGCAAGACGUCAGGCCAAGGUUCUGUCAGAUAGAUGAAAGUCUGUCAAGAAAGCUAAUGAUGACGGAUGCAGCCAUGAUGCUGAGGCAGCAGUGGCAGACAUGGUGUUUUUUGUACCCACCUUGUCUUCUUUCUGAAGCUAAUAGCUUCUGAACAGUGGGAUUCAAUCUGCUGGAAACUGCAGGUGCAAAGGACUAACUCCUAUCUCCCCCUGGGCACUUGGCCCUGCCUCAAUUUCAUGGCAGCUAUUAACCAAAGAAAAAGGUUUUGGGUUUGGGUGACCAUACAGGAAAGUCUUUAUUUGAAGUGUUCCUCUAUUUGACGGACUCUACAUCCCUAAGUAUGGGGAGAUUUUUCUUUAAAGGCUAAAAACCAUUUGGAAGGAGAGUGAGGCUUUGACGUUUUCCACCAGAAAUUAACAGCUGUACAGAGGACAGGGCAGUCACACUGGUCUUUGGCUCACAGGGUUCUGGACUGUGAUAAAAUUGAUUGUUUCUAUUUAAAUAAUAGUAAAUACUUCUAAAUUUGCAAAUAAGGACACAAAUCAAUGCAUUUCCCCCCCUGCAAAUCUCUCUUUCUUUGUCCUCAUCUCUUUGUUUUGCGACAUGUAGAACUCACCUUAACUUGUUAAAUCUGACCACAGAUCUCCCAUGUGCCAUCUCAGAUGGCCUUAAAAUGGAUUGGCUUCUACUUUUCCAAUAACCCCAUCCCUUCUAGAGUAAUAGCAAGUAGUUGCAGUCUCUCCUCACACAUAAUCUAAAAUCUAGCUAAGAGUGAGAUGCAAUUGCAGGCAACAGGGCUGUAGUAGAAGCAGGCAUCACUAGGCUAGAUGGAACAAUGGUCCAACUCUGUCUAUCUGGUGCCAUGGCCCCAUAACCUGGGGACCUUGCAUUGGACAGCUGAGGACAUGGUUGAGGUUCAGAACAACCUUAUUGGGAGGCCUCAUACCUGCAGGAUACAGCACCAUCACCAUCUUCUGACUCAGAGGAUGAGACUGCUGCAAUGCCUGUGCCUCUCCAGAAGCCAAAGGCUACAGAAUAAGCAGAGGAUGCUUUAACCAACCAGACAGCUCCUCCUACAUAAGGCUUCAAAUGGUGCCAGCUCCCUGCAGACCCCACUUACCUGGAAGCUGCUUUAGCAGGUCUCAUUGGAGCUAUCCAAGGUCUGGUAUGCUCUCCGACUGACUCCGACUUGCGAAUGGGUGUUGCCUGCUCCAUAUGUGAGCCUCAAGCACCCACAGAACUGGAGGUAAGGCAGCUUUGAAUGUCAGUGUUGUGUGUGCAUCUGAGGCCUUUUGUUUCUGGAACUGGGUCACCUAUGGCUUGCUUGUUGUGUUAGAAUUGCCUUGCUGGGUUAUUGUGGAGGCUGAUCCCCACACCUGAGAGUGAGGUGCAUGGUGGCUGAGGUCAGGGUCACUUGGAGCUGCCCACUAGACAGCUGUUAUGCCAGCAAAGCUCCUGUAAAGAGGGAGGUGUUUAUAUCAUCUUGGGCAGCUCCUUCCCCUUCUUGAUCAACCAGCCAGCUCCCAAUGGACACCUGGGUCAUCUCUGGAUUCUCCAUGCUCCUGAGCAUCAGAGCAAGGACCACCUAGCCCAUGAGUGAGGAAUCUCAGGUCCAGGUCUGAAUGUGACCCCCCAGACCCCUCUAUUUGGCCCUUGGAAUGCUCUGCCACACUCCCUCUUCCCAGGCCACACACCCUCACUGGUGGUCCUGCUUGCACUGUUCUGGAACUCUGAUAAAUUCCUCUUCCCUGCCUGGGUGGAGGAUCCAAAGAGGUGUGUGCGCAAGUGUAGAAACCAGCCUACUGCAUAAAGGCAAAAUUUUCAUUUGUUGCUCUGCCUGCUUUUGCCUAUGACCCCCCCCCAUCAGCAUGGGCCCCUCAGAAGAUUGCCUAGAAGGGAAUGUGGCCCCUGGGCUGAGAAAACUUCCCCGCUCCUGAUCUAGCCUACAGUUCUGUCACUCUGCUAGUGCUGUGCCAGACUACCUGUUUCCCCCUGCCUUUGCAAAGCCUUUGAACAGAGCUGUCUCCUGUCUUCUUAAAGCCCAGGCUCCCCCCUGAGCCUCUGGUGCCACUUUCCACUGCUGAGAUAUAAAUAUUUAGGGAUCGUCAUCUCUUCCCUCUCCCAGUGACUUAAGCCUCUCUCGCAGCCAGCUUCAUAUGAGAGAGGGUUAUAUUUAUACCAAUGCUUUUGCUUAUUGAGAUGUUUAUCGUGAAAACCUUCAGUUUUGCAAGCAAAGGCCUGGCAACUUUAGAUGCAAUAUAUGCUUACAAGAAAUGAGGAAUAUAGCAUUACUUUUCCUGAUGCAAUGCUAGUACUUCCGUCUCAUUUUCUAAUGUUGCUUUCACACUGCAAUACCCGUUGUUGCAUUAUGGAACUGUGGAUUUUUGACUGAAUUGCCAGCAUGCCAGGGUAAAGUCAUUCACCCUAGUGAGUGCAUGGCACAACACUGGACAUCUCUAGACAAUGCUGCUAUUCCCCCACGCUUUCCACACUUGUGUGCUUCUGUUCCCCUGUGAUUCCUCCAUGAAAACUGCAGGAAAGAACUUUAUGCUGGUAUGCUGCUUCAAAUUUCAUCCCUUUACUCCCCCAGUUUUCCUGGAUUAAGGGGGCUGCAAAUGGAUUCUUUUCUGGAACCAAAUAACAUGGAAAUGAGUGCCAAGUGUGUACUAUAUUCCAUUACUUUUCCAGAAUGGGUCCAUAUGUCAGGGGAAACCUCAAAUCAGUUGCAAAAUCAGUUACAAAAACACCCAGGAACUGGAAUAAACUGUGUGAAUCAGCCUUGGUUUGCAUUAGGGCUGGCAACAAGAGUCAGCAUAUUUGGGCCUCUGGAGAGGGCUCAAUCCCCAGCAGAGCUCAUUGCGCCUAUUGCAAUGAAGAGGCCAGUUCACCAAGGGACGAUGAGCAUGAAUGAUGUCUUGCUCCCCGCCCUUCUGGAGCCUGGAGUCAACACUGCUUCGCAUGGCAACUUAGAAAGGCUAAGAAGAAAGGCUCAAUCUCUUAGCCAUAUUUAGAAGGAUGCUAAUAACACCUGAUGGAGAUGUAAGAUAGAGGAAGCAGAGAUGGGCCACAUUUUGGAGUUCCGGAUGAUGACAUUUUGGAAAUAAGUUGGCUUUGUAAAAGAGUCAGUGCUGCCUGGGGAGAUAGAAAUAGUUUAAUAAAAACAGUUUUUAAAAGGAAAAAGAAAGAAAGAAAUCUCUCUGCCUAGUUCAUUCAUACUUUUCUAAACUUCUACCAUGUCACCUUUUCUUGAAACUAAGAAGUCCUGAAGGUUGCAAACUUUCUUCAUGUGGAUCACUUUGCUUGCCCUUUUCGUUUGUUUGCCUGGAUGGAGAAAGAAGAGGGGUCCGUGAGGUCUACAUGUAGAAACUUCCAACUUCUGCAUGGCUAAAAUCCCAUUCCCUAUUUUAUAGGAUUGCACCUCAAUCCUACAUGUCAGCAGUGUGUUAC
Molecule: non-coding RNA, 5609 nt
Organism: Podarcis lilfordi (Lilford's wall lizard)
Lineage: Eukaryota; Metazoa; Chordata; Lepidosauria; Squamata; Lacertidae
Source: the annotation of a GenBank genome assembly